RNAcentral lists this long non-coding RNA (316 nucleotides) under Zostera marina. Its description in RNAcentral is "long non-coding RNA (ZMAR_LNC000128)". The record is from RNAcentral. Lineage: Eukaryota; Viridiplantae; Streptophyta; Magnoliopsida; Alismatales; Zosteraceae.
GCGAUUUUACGGGCUAACUCGGCGAUCUGGACGAAGAACGAUGUUCCGCACCGUGGGAGCUCUCCGGGGGUCCUGCCAUAGCGACAGAGCCCUAGUCCUUGUUGAGAGGCGUUGAUGGGUAGUGACUGGUGUAAUCAGGCAUGUCUCAACAGUACUCCCCCCUGAAGAGAGCACAAGAAACAUGGUGUAUCACCAGUACCCCCCCGUUAAUCAAGGUUCAAAGUGUUUGAUCCAGCACCAAGGCCAAAGCGACAAGAUGAGAUCGAAUCAUCCGCCCACAGUGACGUAAUGAUUCAGAAUCCAUAGGCCAAAGCGA